RNAcentral lists this unclassified non-coding RNA (324 nucleotides) under soil metagenome. RNAcentral's name for it is "partial contains 5.8S ribosomal RNA, internal transcribed spacer 2, and large subunit ribosomal RNA". The stretch from base 1 to 120 matches the Rfam family "5.8S ribosomal RNA", at positions 35 to 154 of the family's 154-position model. The record is from RNAcentral.
GAUGAAGAACGCAGCGAAAUGCGAUAAGUAGUGUGAAUUGCAGAAUUCAGUGAAUCAUCGAAUCUUUGAACGCACAUUGCGCCCCUUGGUAUUCCAUGGGGCAUGCCUGUUCGAGCGUCAUUAGUACCUUCAAGCUUUGCUUGGUGUUGGGUGUUUGUCCCUCGGGACUCGCCUUAAAGUCAUUGGCAGCCAGUGUUUUGGUUUUGAAGCGCAGCACAAGUCGCGAUUCAAGGCUAUCCGCCCGCUUCCACAAGCCUUUUUCACUUUUGACCUCGGAUCAGGUAGGGAUACCCGCUGAACUUAAGCAUAUCAAUAAGCGGAGGA